RNAcentral lists this ribosomal RNA (468 nucleotides) under uncultured bacterium. Its description in RNAcentral is "partial 16S ribosomal RNA". It matches the Rfam family "Bacterial small subunit ribosomal RNA", at positions 28 to 507 of the family's 1533-position model. The record is from RNAcentral.
GACGAACGCUGGCGGCGUGCCUAACACAUGCAAGUCGAACGGAAAGGCCCUGCUCUUGCGGGGUGCUCGAGUGGCGAACGGGUGAGUAACACGUGAGUAACCUGCCCCUGACUUUCGGAUAACUUCAGGAAACUGGGGAUAAUAUCGGAUAGGAUCUCCUGCUGCAUGGUGGGGGUUGGAAAGAUUCGGCGGUUUUGGCUGGAAUCGCGGCUUAUGAGCUGGUUGGUGGGGUAGUGGCUUACCAGGCCUAUGACGGGUAGCCGGCCUGAGAGGGCGACCGGGCUCCUGGGUACUGAGAGACGGCCCAGACUCCUAUGGGAGGCAGCAGUCGGGAAUAUUGCACAAUGGGCGGAAGCCUGAUGCAGCAACGCCGCGUGCGUGAUGACGGCCUUCGGGUGGUAAACCGCUUUCGCCUGUGACGAAGCGUGAGUGACGGUAAUGGAUAAAGAAGCACCGGCUAACUACGUG